This 500-nucleotide ribosomal RNA is filed under the name uncultured bacterium. RNAcentral describes it as "partial 16S ribosomal RNA". It matches the Rfam family "Bacterial small subunit ribosomal RNA", at positions 28 to 523 of the family's 1533-position model. The record is from RNAcentral.
GACGAACGCUGGCGGCGUGCCUAAUACAUGCAAGUCGAGCGAGACUCUUCGGAGUCUAGCGGCGGACGGGUGAGUAACACGUGGGCAACCUGCCUGUAAGACUGGGAUAACACCGGGAAACCGGUGCUAAUACCGGAUAAUCCUUUUCCUCUCAUGAGGAAAAACUGAAAGUCGGUUUCGGCUGACACUUACAGAUGGGCCAGCGGCGCAUUAGCUAGUUGGUGAGGUAACGGCUCACCAAGGCGACGAUGCGUAGCCGACCUGAGAGGGUGGUCGGCCACACUGGGACUGAGACACGGCCCAGACUCCUACGAGAGGCAGCAGUAGGGAAUCUUCCACAAUGGACGAAAGUCUGAUGGAGCAACGCCGCGUGAGCGAUGAAGGCCUUCGGGUCGUAAAGCUCUGUUGUUAGGGAAGAACAAGUACCGGAGUAACUGCCGGUACCUUGACGGUACCUAACCAGAAAGCCACGGCUAACUACGUGCCAGCAGCCGCAGUAA